CCUACGGGUGGCAGCAGUGGGGAAUAUUGCACAAUGGGGGAAACCCUGAUGCAGCGACGCCGCGUGAAGGAAGAAGUAUUUCGGUAUGUAAACUUCUAUCAGCAGGGAAGAAAAUGACGGUACCUGACGAAGAAGCCCCGUCUAACUACGGGCCAGCAGCCGCGGUAAUACGUAGGGGGCAAGCGUUAUCCGGAUUUACUGGGUGUAAAGGGAGCGUAGGCGGUUUAGCAAGUCAGAAGUGAAAGCCCGGGGCUCAACUCCGGGACUGCUUUUGAAACUGUUGAACUAGAGUGCAGGAGAGGUAAGUGGAAUUCGUAGUGUAGCGGUGAAAUGCGUAGAUAUUAGGAGGAACACCAGUGGCGAAGGCGGCUUACUGGACUGUAAAUGACGCUGAGGCUCGAAAGCGUGGGGAGCAAACAGGAUUAGAUACCCCGGUAGUC
This 440-nucleotide ribosomal RNA is filed under the name uncultured bacterium. RNAcentral describes it as "partial 16S ribosomal RNA". It matches the Rfam family "Bacterial small subunit ribosomal RNA", at positions 338 to 795 of the family's 1533-position model. The record is from RNAcentral.